AGAGUUUGAUCAUGGCUCAGAACGAACGCUGGCGGCAGGCUUAACACAUGCAAGUCGAGCGCCCAGCAAUGGGAGCGGCGGACGGGUGAGUAACACGUGGGAACAUGCCCUUCGGUACGGAACAACUCAGGGAAACUUGAGCUAAUACCGCAUACGCCCUAACGGGGAAAGAUUUAUCGCCGAAGGAUUGGCCCGCGCCUGAUUAGCUUGUUGGUGAGGUAAUGGCUCACCAAGGCUUCGAUCAGUAGCUGGUUUGAGAGAGCGACCAGCCACACUGGGACUGAGACACGGCCCAGACUCCUACGGGAGGCAGCAGUGAGGAAUCUUGGACAAUGGGGGAAACCCUGAUCCAGCCAUGCCGCGUGAGUGAUGAAGGCCUUAGGGUUGUAAAACUCUUUCGACGGGGACGAUAAUGACGGUACCCGUAGAAGAAGCUCCGGCUAACUUCGUGCCAGCAGCCGCGGUAAUACGAAGGGGGCUAGCGUUGUUCGGAAUUACUGGGCGUAAAGCGUGCGCAGGCGGAUCAUCAAGUCAGAGGUGAAAGCCCAGGGCUCAACCCUGGAAUUGCCUUUGAAACUGAUGGUCUUGAGUGCGGGAGAGGUGAGUGGAAUUCCCAGUGUAGAGGUGAAAUUCGUAGAUAUUGGGAAGAACACCGGUGGCGAAGGCGGCUCACUGGCCCGUUUCUGACGCUCAUGCACGAUAGCGUGGGGAUCAAACAGGAUUAGAUACCCUAGUAGUCC
RNAcentral lists this ribosomal RNA (740 nucleotides) under uncultured bacterium. RNAcentral describes it as "bacterial SSU rRNA". It matches the Rfam family "Bacterial small subunit ribosomal RNA", at positions 8 to 796 of the family's 1533-position model. The record is from RNAcentral.